AGAGGAAAAAAAAAUGAACUAGAACACAUAAAGGAGGGGAAAUUAGAGAGGGAUUCGCUGUCGCUAAUAGCUGUCACGGGGAAGAGGUUCCACUGAGUCGAGAAGCUUCAGAACCUCCGUCUCCAUGGCAACUCCCUCAAAAUCGUCGAAAUGGACCGACAACGUUUCCUCAAUAGCAGCUCGCAUCUUGUUCCUUCUUAUCAUCUUUCAGAUCCCUCUUUUCAGGGUGAGUUGCAGAUCUGGCAUGUGUACAAACCCUUUGCAUGUCACAUCGUCGCAGUUAAUUGCAAGUGAAAUCUUUCCUGCUGUUGUGGUGAAAGGCCUUCUGUACCCAGGGGCUGCAGUGAACGGCCUCAUCCACAACAUGACCAUUCCAAGUUGGGAUAGUUUGCUGGACUUGUAUAAUUUGACCAAUGUGAAGGAAGCAUCUGCAGUAACUGAUCUUCAGCGCUUGGAGGUUCUUGCCGGAAGCUACUUCUUAGUGGCAGGAGCACUUGUGGGUGUUCUGAAACCCGGAAGAAUGAGCGUGUUUGGGAACCUUCUUAUUAUUUGGGGACUGGUCAAAGAAGGGAUUUUAGGAAAACCAGUAAAUUCUGAUCCUUCAAAAGCUGUGUACGUCUAUCCAACAAUGGUGAUUGCUUUGUUAUGUGCUUUCUCGUCCGUUAAGUAUGAUGUGAAGAAGGCUGUUAGGUCAGCCCCUGUCAGGUCUUCUGCUAAACCGCUUCAGAGCUCAUCUAAGUCUAAGCUGAAAUAGGCUAUUCUCAUGUUGACAAGUUAAAGUUGUACGCUUUCCACCCAAAUUCAUUUUGGAACAUUUAGGUGAUACGGGCUUCAAUUUAAGGUUUUUGAGGGAGAAUAUUGAGGCGUUGAGAUCACAGUUCAAAUCACACUACCUUAUGAGAGAGGGCGCAUUAAAUGCCACAUAAGGUUAAAACUAAUACCACCUCAUCAUCACACAUAUUAUCUAGUUUUUACUUUCUUUUUUAAAAUUAUAUCUUUUCUUCAAUUAUUAUAUUUGUUAAAUUCAACCAAGAACGAACUAUUUAUUUAAUGUCAUGAUUAGAUUUACUAUCAAUAACUUAUACUCAGGAAACCAAAGAUUUUUAAAUGAUAUCAAUUAUUUUGUGAAA
Vigna angularis (adzuki bean) is the source of this 1130-nucleotide RNA transcript. RefSeq lists it as uncharacterized. Lineage: Eukaryota; Viridiplantae; Streptophyta; Magnoliopsida; Fabales; Fabaceae. The transcript is spliced from 4 exons. The record is from RefSeq and is a predicted model, not a curated record.